AGGGCACCACCAGGAGUGGAGCCUGCGGCUUAAUUUGACUCAACACGGGAAAUCUCACCAGGCCCGGACACUGGAAGGAUUGACAGAUUGAGAGCUCUUUCUUGAUUCGGUGGGUGGUGGUGCAUGGCCGUUCUUAGUUGGUGGAGCGAUUUGUCUGGUUUAUUCCGAUAACGAACGAGACUCUAGCCUACUAAAUAGUGACUGGAUUGUUUCUGUCCAGGACACUUCUUAGAGGGACAAGUGGUGUUCAGCCACACGAAAUUGAGCAAUAACAGGUCUGUGAUGCCCUUAGAUGUCCGGGGCUGCACGCGCGCUACACUGGAGGAAUCAGCGUGCUAUACCAUUGCCGAAAGGCAUUGGUAAACCCGUCAAAAUCCUCCGUGAUCGGGAUCGGGAAUUGCAAUUAUUUCCCUUGAACGAGGAAUUCCCAGUAAGUGUGGGUCAUCAGCUCACGCUGAUUACGUCCCUGCCCUUUGUACACACCGCCCGUCGCUGCCCGGGACUGAGCCGUUUCGAGAA
This 519-nucleotide ribosomal RNA is filed under the name uncultured eukaryote. RNAcentral describes it as "SSU rRNA". It matches the Rfam family "Eukaryotic small subunit ribosomal RNA", at positions 1161 to 1705 of the family's 1831-position model. The record is from RNAcentral.